Alligator mississippiensis (American alligator) is the source of this 839-nucleotide long non-coding RNA. RefSeq lists it as uncharacterized. The transcript has 3 exons. The record is from RefSeq and is a predicted model, not a curated record. NCBI's taxonomy places the organism in Eukaryota, Metazoa, Chordata, Crocodylia, Alligatoridae.
CAGGUAUAUUGGUAUCCUCACAGGGGAACACUAAAGCAUUGAAAUUAUCUAAUUAAUCUACAUUUCUUCUUGCUAUCCUGAUGUUCUGUAUUCAAAUGGCAGUGUUUUCUCUUCCACAGAAUGCUAGUUAUUCAAGAUGCUGAAGGUUAUGUUGACAAAGGUUGAAAUUUUCAAAGCAACUUAAAGGAUUUAGAUACACAUAUAUCAUUAUAAUACAUGGUAGAUGUACCCAACUCCUUUGGAUCAUCAUUUGAUGAAAGCAGAGAACUACACAGGAUCACAAAACAAAUUCCUUCCCUUUACUCUCCCAACAAUCCUAACCAUGCCUUAAUUUGUUCAUUUUCUGUGGUCUCUCAACUACUACAGUCCCACAUUUUGGGAAACAGUACCCCACAUUGCUAAGAACAUCUCAACCAUAGUAUAGUCCAGUCACAGAUCUUACAGUUUCAAUGCAACAAAAAAAAUAUUGCAAAAGCAAUUUGUGGCAGGGCACUUUCAGGUGCCUGCCCCUUUAAGGCUGGGAGCAGGCAGCUGACAGGUGCAGACCGGCCCUGAUGAGGCAGCCAUUUUAGAUCUAGGCUCUCAGGUCUGAGGUAGCAAUCUGCCGCUGACAACCAAAGGAGCAACACCUGGCUGAGCUGCUGAUUGGAACAUCCUUGGAGCAGAAGCAUCACUGAGAAGGAAUAGAAGAGUGAUCAAACAAAACAGAAUACAACUGCUAGGCAACAGUCUGGACUGCAACACUGCACACGCUGCCAUUUCUAGAACUACAGGUGCUGGACUCGGAUGGCUUCAUCUAUAUCAUUCUCAGCAUGCAGAAUCACAAACUUGUAAAAAAC